AUUGAACGCUGGCGGCAUGCUUUACACAUGCAAGUCGAACGGCAGCACAGGGAGCUUGCUCCUGGGUGGCGAGUGGCGAACGGGUGAGUAAUGUAUCGGAACGUUCCUGGUAGUGGGGGGUAACUACUCGAAAGCGUUGCUAAUACCGCAUGAGAUCUUUGGAUGACAUCGGGUUACCUUCGGGCCUCGUGCUACUGGAGCGGCCGAUAUCAGAUUAGGUUGUUGGUGGGGUAAAGGCCUACCAAGCCUGCGAUCUGUAGCUGGUCUGAGAGGACGACCAGCAACACUGGGACUGAGACACGGCCAAGACUCCUACGGGAGGAGGCAGUGGGGAAUUUUGGACAAUGGGCGCAAGCCUGCUCCAGCAAUGCCGCGUGCAGGACGAAGGCCUUCGGGUUGUAAACUGCUUUUGUACAGAACGAAAAGUCUCUGGCUAAUAUCUAGAGAUCAUGACGGUACUGUAAGAAUAAGCACCGGCUAACUACGUG
Molecule: ribosomal RNA, 488 nt
Filed under: uncultured bacterium
Lineage: Bacteria
Description: partial 16S ribosomal RNA
Rfam family: Bacterial small subunit ribosomal RNA
Source: RNAcentral